RNAcentral lists this long non-coding RNA (328 nucleotides) under Arabidopsis lyrata. RNAcentral's name for it is "long non-coding RNA (ALYR_LNC001706)". The record is from RNAcentral. Lineage: Eukaryota; Viridiplantae; Streptophyta; Magnoliopsida; Brassicales; Brassicaceae.
UCAUCCUCCUUCUUAUCUCCAUAUACCGUCGUUGCCACCUUCGACGAUGAACCUUCUUUCCCCGAAAAUGCGGAUCUCACGAAUGACCUAGAACAAAAAUGUUUUAGCGUCAAUAAAGUCGAUCCCUAACCUCAAAUUUGAAAAUGAUCGUCUCAAAAGAGCUUACAUUGCUCUUCAAGCGUGGAAAAAAGCCAUUUACUCGGACCCGUUUAAGACUACAGCCAAUUGGGUUGGUUCUGAUGUGUGUUCUUACAAUGGAGUUUAUUGUGCACCUGCUCUAGAUGAUGAUAGCCUCACGGUCGUAGCUGGAGUUGAUCUUAAUCACGCG